AGUCCUGUGGAAGCCACAGGGAGAGAUGUAAAGAUAAGUUAGGGUCGUGACCUAAUUUAAUUCUAAUUUUUGGUCGCCAGGGGAUAUCCCAAAUAAAAAUACCCAAGUCAGUUUGGAAAUAUAUGGUGGUUUAAUCAAUAUAGAGGGAAGAAAUCAAGGAGAAGAGAGAGGGAGAGGGUAUAGGAUUUCUCCCACCUGGCCUGUGCCAGGGGGAGUUCAAAAUCCUCCGCUACAAGGUUUCUGAAGAAGAUUAGAGGCUUCUAAGUGGAUAGUGUUUGAAAGGUAAAAGAGAAAAAAUCAGCCUAAAAUUCCGAGAGAUCUCAGAGAAGAUACCUCACUUCACCUAGGUAACUAGUCUUUCUCCAGUAUGGUAUCAAGGAAAACUCACCACUAAAAACCAGACAAUAGCUGAUGUCACGCCAAGAUGUUGACAUGUUCAGCCAGCUGCCACCAGCCACCUCUCUUCUGUCCAAGAGGCCGGAGAGAGGAAGUGACACAAAAUAUAGAUGGUUUUAUAUCACUUUCCUGCGUCUCACAGGUACCAAUGAUAUCUUAGGCUUGACUUAGGACAGUCCUGGGGUCUGUCAGUUGUUUCUGAUUGGCCAUUUGCUAGCACAUGUCUGUCAUAGGCCAUCCUCUAAAAUAUGUAAUCCUUAAGUAUGGGUGUAGACAUUCCUGAUUUUGUUAGACUAAGUAGGGUGGAGUAAUCUAAAGUUCACAGAGAGGAGACCAGAGGCGGCCAUUAGUCGCAGAGUUCUUGGGAAGUUAGUCUUGGUGGCGAAGAGGAAGGAGGGAAGCACUUGAGAGCUUUCCUACAUAUCCGUGAUGGAAAAGAAGCUUUCAAUGUGGGGAGGCACGCCCUCUAAUCAUGCUCGGCGGGGGGCAGGGAGCUCUUUAGAUGGCAGCCCGUUUUGUCAGGUAUCCAGGACAGACCCCGAUUCUGGAAGGGGAUUUGGCCCUGGAAGCUUGUGGUUUCCUGAUUUUUAGUGUUAAACAAGGGCCAACAAACUACUAGUGAUUUAGUUAUGAACCACCGGUGUCUGCGGAGGAAAACAAUUCCUACGUUCAUCAAAGCGGCUGACAUCAAAUGAUGGAAGGGGUUCCCUGUCCCCUGGAGUUGUAUCAGCUUAGAAAACAAAGGGAUGGCGCCAUAUGUAAUCCUUGAAGUUUCACGGCCUUACAAUGGCUCCCUCUGGGUUGUGCUGACUUUACCUAAUUCUUUGCUAUGUUCCUAUGAUAGGGCUAAGAAAGGUCGAGAGAAGAACCUUGGAGUCUGAGAACGUGGCUCUAGCUACGGCCCUGCAUGUAUUUGCCUUCUACAUCCUGAAUCUGGUCCUUCAACUCAUUGAUCUCCUGAGGGAAACGGCAAAAACAGGGAAGGAUGUCACAGAGACAAAUGGACGGGUCACCCACAGAGGCCAGGGAUGUCCAGCUGGAGCUGACGGGCUUCUGGGUCCUAAUUUCCCAAAUGACAAAACUUCCACAAAUAAUUAAAUAGCCAGUGAACACCGGG
This is a non-coding RNA of Monodelphis domestica (gray short-tailed opossum), 1513 nucleotides long. Lineage: Eukaryota; Metazoa; Chordata; Mammalia; Didelphimorphia; Didelphidae. The record is from RefSeq and is a predicted model, not a curated record.